Molecule: ribosomal RNA, 503 nt
Filed under: uncultured bacterium
Lineage: Bacteria
Description: partial 16S ribosomal RNA
Rfam family: Bacterial small subunit ribosomal RNA
Source: RNAcentral
AUUGAACGCUGGCGGCAGGCUUAACACACGCAAGUCGAGCGGGGUGAUGGUGCUUGCACUAUCACUUAGCGGCGGACGGGUGAGUAAUGCUUAGGAAUCUGCCUAUUAGUGGGGGACAACAUCUCGAAAGGGAUGCUAAUACCGCAUACGUCCUACGGGAGAAAGCAGGGGAUCACUUGUGACCUUGCGCUAAUAGAUGAGCCUAAGUCGGAUUAGCUAGUUGGUGGGGUAAAGGCCUACCAAGGCGAGGAUCUGUAGCGGGUGUGGGAGGGUGAUCCGACACACUGGGACUGAGAAACGGCCCAGACUCCUACGGGAGGCAGCAGUGGGGAAUAUUGGACAAUGGGGGGAACCCUGAUCCAGCCAUGCCGCGUGUGUGAAGAAGGCCUUAUGGUUGUAAAGCACUUUAAGCGAGGAGGAGGCUCUUUUGGUUAAUACCCAAGAUGAGUGGACGUUACUCGCAGAAUAAGCACCGGCUAACUCUGUGCCAGCCGCCGCAGUAA